Long non-coding RNA from Rosa rugosa (rugosa rose), 1203 nucleotides. RefSeq lists it as uncharacterized. The transcript has 9 exons. Lineage: Eukaryota; Viridiplantae; Streptophyta; Magnoliopsida; Rosales; Rosaceae. The record is from RefSeq and is a predicted model, not a curated record.
AGACUUUUUCUUGAUUGAAAAUGGCAGAUACGCAAUUUACAACAGUGAAUUAUGGAGCAGUAAUGUAGCUGGAAAAGAAGAAACUAAAUCUACACAAAUAAAAAUGCAACAUUUCUUUUUUUCGGUGUAGCUUACUGAAAUCAUUCAGAUUUUAAACAUGUCAAAGGUUAUAUCACAGUGGAAGUUUACAAGGAUGGUUCUCCAAAGGUUGUGGAUAGAUUUCUCGAUUUAUGGUUUUAUUCGGAAUCUUAUCAAGAGGAAGCAACUAAUUGAUGCUGUUAGAUGCAUUUGCAUCUUGCAGUUAAUUGACAAGUUCUGCCAAAAAAAGAAGAAGAAUUUAUCCAACCUCUGGCUGCAUAUAUGGCUCCAUGCACUCUGAACAAAAAAGUAAUUACACUAUUGGUUCAUCACAGCCUCAACCAACCAUUACAAAGUUCAUUCAGCACAAACUGGAAGAAAAAGAGGAGGAAAGAAAUGAAAACAUAGGACAAAAUGAUCUUCUUGCACGAUGCAGAAUAAUUUGCUAUGCAAAAUAAUUUGCUAUCUCCAAUACAAAAACAGCAUCACAGGCUACAUUCAUUGACAAGAGUCACCACAACAUUCAUAUCGGUCAGGUUGAAGAGAUACUUGGAGAUGAGGCAUGUUGAUGGAAAGCUGGCCUUCGAGAAGCUUAUCUGCUUUGCUUGCAUUUGGCCCUUGAAAAAUGGAUAUAUUCAAGAAAUUCAGAAGACCAGAUUUUAAAAACUCCUACAUACACAGAUUUCGAAACUUAAAGAAGUUGUGCUCCAAGGGACUGAACCAUAAUCUGGAUCAAUUUUCAGUGAGAUUAGUGGAACAACAAGCCACAAAACCUCAAAUUUUCAGGCCAACAUUUAUGAAACACUUCUCAUUAUUGUGUUCUAUUUAUAGCUUCAUUAAACUAUACUUACCAAGUUUGAUUUGAAGUUAUUAAUUCCAGUGAGAACUUCGUGUAACGUGUUCUAAUAAUGCAGCUAAAAAAUUCAAAAGCUGUACCAACCUCAAAGGCUGCGUACAUCUUCUGAAUUCUUUAACUGCAUGAUUAAAACAGGUUACACGAAUUUCUCCACCGGAAUCAAUAAAUUCAAACCAAACCAAAUCUGUAAAUUUCAACAAAACAUUUAAACUUCAGUUAUUCCAAUAACAUAUAACAAUAAUUCCCGCAGCAAAGCGCGGGCACUCUUU